AAUGAACGCUGGCGGCAUGCCUUACACAUGCAAGUCGAACGGCAGCGCGGGAGCAAUCCUGGUGGCGAGUGGCGAACGGGUGAGUAAAGUAUCGGAACGUGCCCAGUCGUGGGGGACAACGUAGCGAAAGUUACGCUAAUACCGCAUACGAACUAUGGAUGAAAGCGGGGGAUCGAAAGACCUCGCGCGAUUGGAGCGGCCGAUAUCAGAUUAGGUAGUUGGUGGGGUAAAGGCUCACCAAGCCGACGAUCUGUAGCUGGUCUGAGAGGAAGACCAGCCACACUGGGACUGAGACACGGCCCAGACUCCUACGGGAGGCAGCAGUGGGGAAUUUUGGACAAUGGGCGAAAGCCUGAUCCAGCCAUGCCGCGUGCAGGAUGAAGGCCUUCGGGUUGUAAACUGCUUUUGUACGGAACGAAAAGGUUUGGCCUAAUAAGCUGAGCUCAUGACGGUACCGUAAGAAUAAGCACCGGCUAACUACGUGCCAGCAGCCGCAGUAA
Molecule: ribosomal RNA, 500 nt
Filed under: uncultured bacterium
Lineage: Bacteria
Description: partial 16S ribosomal RNA
Rfam family: Bacterial small subunit ribosomal RNA
Source: RNAcentral